GAUGAACGCUGGCGGCGGGCCUAAUACAUGCAAGUCGAGCGAACGGACGAGAAGAGUGCUUCUCUGAUGUUAGCGGCGGACGGGUGGGUAAGAAGUGGAUCACCUACCUAUAAGACUGGGAGAACUUCGGGAAACAGGAGCUAAUACCAGCUAAUAUUUUGAACCGCAUGGUUCAAGAGUGAAAGACGGUCUUGCUGUCACUUAUAGCUGGAUCCGCGCUGCAUUAGCUAGUUGGUAAGGUAACGGCCUACCAAGGCAACGAUGCAUAGCCGACCUGAGAGGAUGAUCAGCCACACUGGAACUGAGACACGGUCCAGACUCCUACGGGAGGCAGCAGUAGGGAAUCUUGCGCAAUGGGCGAAAGCCUGACCCAGCAACGCCGCGUGAGUGAUGAAGGUCUUCGGGUCGUAAAACCCUGUUAUUGGGAAAGAACAGCUGUGUAAGUAACUGCGGAUAUCCUGACGGUACCUAAUCAGAAAGCAACGGCUAACUACGUG
Molecule: ribosomal RNA, 497 nt
Filed under: uncultured bacterium
Lineage: Bacteria
Description: partial 16S ribosomal RNA
Rfam family: Bacterial small subunit ribosomal RNA
Source: RNAcentral